Long non-coding RNA from Ictalurus punctatus (channel catfish), 284 nucleotides. Lineage: Eukaryota; Metazoa; Chordata; Actinopteri; Siluriformes; Ictaluridae. The record is from Ensembl.
UCCCACCGUGACCCUGUGUGUGCGGAGUUUGCACGUUCUCCCCGUGCUGCGGGGGUUUCCUCCGGGUACUCCGGUUUCCUCCCCCAGUCCAAAGACAUGCACGGUAGGCUGAUUGGCGUGUCUAAAGUGUCCAUAGUGUAUGAAUGUGUGUGUGAUUGUGCCCUGCGAUGGAUUGGCACCCUGUCCAGGGUGUACCCCGCCUUGUGCCCGAUGCUCCCUGGGAUAGGCUCCAGGUUCCCCGUGACCCUGAAGAAGGAGUAAGCGGUAGAGGAUGGAUGGAUGGA